GCAUCGGCUACUCUGUGCCAGCAGCCGCGGUAAGACAGGGGAUGCAAGCGUUAUCCGGAAUGAUUGGGCGUAAAGCGUCUGUAGGUGGCUCCUUAAGUCCGCUGUCAAAUCCCGGGGCUCAACCCCGGACAGGCGGUGGAAACUACUGAGCUAGAGUACGGUAGGGGCAGAGGGAAUUCCCGGUGAAGCGGUGAAAUGCGUAGAGAUCGGAAAGAACACCUAUGGUGAAGGCGCUCUGCUGGGCCAAAACUGACACUGUGCGACGAAAGCUAGGGGAGUGAAAGGGACUAAAUACACAUGGUGUCCUAGCCGUGAACGAUGGAUAAUAGUGUAGCAUGUAUAGACCCUACCUGUACCGAAGCUAAACGCGGUAAGUUUUCCACUAGUGAGUACGCACGCAAGUGUGACACCAGGAAUUGACGGGGGCCCGACAAUCGCUGGUGUGUCUGGUUAUCCUACGUUACGCGAAGAACCUUACCAAGGCUUGACAUGUCCGGUCUCUUGGUGAAAGCCGAGAGGUUCUUCGGGAACGCGAAGACAGGUGGUGCAUGGCUGUCGUCAGCUCGUGUCGUGAGAUGUUGGGUUAAGUCCCGCAACGAGCGCAGGGCUCGUCCUUAGUUGCCAUCAUUUAGUUGGGCACUUUAGGGAGACUGCCGGUGACCAACCGGAGGAAGGUGGGGAUGACGUCAAAUCAUAGUGCCCCUUACGUCCUGGGCUACACACGUACUACAAUGCUACGGACAGAGGGCAGCCAGCCAGUGAGGGCAAGCGAAUCCCAUAAACCGUGCCUCAGUUCAGAUUGCAGGCUGCAACUCGCCUGCAUGAAGGCGGAAUCGCUAGUAAUCGAAGGUCAGCAUACUGCGGUGAAUCCGUUCCCGGGCCUUGUACACACCGCCCGUCACACCAUGGGAGUUGGCCACGCCCGAAGUCGUU
Molecule: ribosomal RNA, 933 nt
Filed under: uncultured Spirulina sp.
Lineage: Bacteria; Bacillati; Cyanobacteriota; Cyanophyceae; Spirulinales; Spirulinaceae
Description: bacterial SSU rRNA
Rfam family: Bacterial small subunit ribosomal RNA
Source: RNAcentral